RNAcentral lists this unclassified non-coding RNA (278 nucleotides) under Hevea brasiliensis (rubber tree). The record is from RNAcentral. Lineage: Eukaryota; Viridiplantae; Streptophyta; Magnoliopsida; Malpighiales; Euphorbiaceae.
AAAAUAAACAGUCUGAUAAAGGUUCAUUAAGUUCUGGCUCUGGGAAGACAGAUGGGUCCAAUGUAAGAAGGUCAAGUCGAGAAACAAAGCAAGUUGCUUCAAGCCCAUCAAGUAUAAGGAAGUCGAAGCGUCUUGAGAAGCAGUCACCAACCCCGCCUAUUGUUAAGAGGAGAGCUGCAUUAAUUAAGAAACCAAAUUCUCCAAGCCCUUUAAGAAGGUCUGACAGGGGUAAGAAACAUACCUUAUCUAGCUCGUCAAGAUCAAAUUACGUUGGAAUA